Molecule: transfer RNA, 71 nt
Filed under: Camelus bactrianus (Bactrian camel)
Lineage: Eukaryota; Metazoa; Chordata; Mammalia; Artiodactyla; Camelidae
Also listed under: 2 other names
Rfam family: tRNA
About the family: Transfer RNA (tRNA) molecules are approximately 80 nucleotides in length. Their secondary structure includes four short double-helical elements and three loops (D, anti-codon, and T loops). Further hydrogen bonds mediate the characteristic L-shaped molecular structure. tRNAs have two regions of fundamental functional importance: the anti-codon, which is responsible for specific mRNA codon recognition, and the 3' end, to which the tRNAs corresponding amino acid is attached (by aminoacyl-tRNA synthetases). tRNAs cope with the degeneracy of the genetic code in two manners: having more than one tRNA (with a specific anti-codon) for a particular amino acid; and 'wobble' base-pairing, i.e. permitting non-standard base-pairing at the 3rd anti-codon position.
Source: Rfam by way of RNAcentral
GAGGGUCUAACUCAGUGGCAGAGUGCAUGCUUAGCAUGCCCGUGGUCCUGGGUUCAAUCCCCAGGACCCCA